This 501-nucleotide ribosomal RNA is filed under the name uncultured bacterium. Its description in RNAcentral is "bacterial SSU rRNA". It matches the Rfam family "Bacterial small subunit ribosomal RNA", at positions 28 to 476 of the family's 1533-position model. The record is from RNAcentral.
GAUGAACGCUGGCGGCGUGCCUAAUACAUGCAAGUCGAACGCAUUGUGGUUGAAAUGAUAUGAAGAACUUGUUCAGAUUUGAUUUUCAACAUUGCAAUGAGUGGCGAACGGGUGAGUAACACGUGGGAAACCUACCUCUUAGCAGGGGAUAACAUUUGGAAACAAAUGCUAAUACCGUAUAAUAAUUAAAACCGCAUGGUUUUAGUUUAAAAGAUGGUCUUGCUAUCACUAAGAGAUGGUCCCGCGGUGUAUUAGUUAGUUGGUGAGGUAAUGGCUCACCAAGACAAUGAUACAUAGCCGAGUUGAGAGACUGACCGGCCACAAUGGGACUGAGACACGGCCCAUACUCCUACGGGAGGCAGCAGUAGGGAAUCUUCCACAAUGGACGAAAGUACUGAUGGAGCAACGCCGCGUGUGUGAUGAAGGGUUUCGGCUCGUAAAACACUAUUGUAAGAGAAGAACUGACAAUUGAGAGUAAACCUGUUUCAAAUGUGUGACGGU